CUAAAACUAGACAAGGGUGAUGUUUUCGCAUCUGCACUGUAAGGAAAUACUUGUGGCUGUAACAUGAUGAUAAAUCUCCAUACCGCCAUAUGGACCCUGACGUCCUUGAUUCUGUCGGGCACUCUUGCUGCUGACUGGACAGUGCGUGUUCCUAUGGAUCCAGUCUAUGCUCCUUCUGGUUCUUCUGUAGUUUUAGAGUGCACCUAUGACUACCCUGAAGAGUCUGACCAGGGAAAACUGCACAAAGUACUGACAGAGAUGUGGUGUCUGAACGAAAGACGCUGCAUUACUCCCAGAUACGUGUACCACAGUGCAGGGAUAUUCCCUGAGCCCUCAUACCAGGGCCGAGUCAAGUACUUUGGGCAGACAGGGAGCAAAAACUGCUCUCUGAUGAUAUCUGAUCUGAGGUCAGAAGACAGCGGCGUGUACGUGUUCCGGUUCAUCACCGACCAUCUGAAGGCCAAGCUACCAGGACAGAGAGGAAUGAAUCUACAGGUCACACAUCAGAUAGAAAUCCACAGCAAAUGUCAGCUCUUCACAAAAAGACGUAUCCACAAAGUUGAGGCACUUCCUCAGAGAAACCUAGCUUUCAUGACUUUGACUGUGGGAGAUUCAUUUCGAAACCUGUGACCAGUUUACGUGACAUUAUUUAGCACUGAUAAACAAAUUUGUCAGCCACAUUACUGACACUUUAAAAUGUGUGAAUACUGUGGUAUAGUCAUGUGAUUGUAAGCUGUUUAUUGAAAUUGUCUCAAAUUCUUCACAGCAAGAAGUGCAUCUUCAUCCACUACUGGCAUUGUGCUUGGAGUAAUUAUCAUGGUUAUCAUAAUAGCAGUCAUUGUAGUACUCAUCAGACGCAAGUCACGGGGAUAGAGUUCAACAUAACACAGAGGAUGAAAAAGAGAAAACUUUUGACUGUAAACAAAACAGAGAUGUUAACAAAUAGUUCUGUUUUUUUUUUUUUUACAUUCAUUUUAUGCAUUUUUGCAUCCAUUACAGUCUGUAUUAUUUAUUCAUUCAUAUUAUUUCCUGCACAUCAAACGGUAUGUUUUAUUCUCAUAUUUCACUUUUUGCAGUCAUAUUUCACUUUUUGUAGUCUAUUGCAUGUCAUAUUGUAUCUUACUUUUUGCAUGUCACUGCCGCUGUGUUGCAUGUCAGGGUGACCACACUGCUUUCAGCCCAUGAACUGGUAACUGAACAACACAUUUUCUUGACAGAGUCUGUAAAAAGAGAAAAUUAUGGUUUUGUAUAAAUAGUAAGAAACUUAUUAAGCCAGCAGAAAAAAGAAAACAGGAAAGAAAACCUUGUUCUACGAUCUCGUUCUCCCCUCUUCUGCACAUCAAAAAAGCAUGGUUUAGUUUACAACACCUCACUUCCUAAAAAUGAAGCAAUUGGAGGAAUAUUUCACCAUAAAAAAUGACUAUCUAUUGCUAUUUACUCACCCUUGAAUCUAUGAAGAACCUUCAUACAGUUCCAGGU
Carassius carassius (crucian carp) is the source of this 1479-nucleotide RNA transcript. It is a transcript of the gene named sialoadhesin, with no coding region annotated. Lineage: Eukaryota; Metazoa; Chordata; Actinopteri; Cypriniformes; Cyprinidae. The record is from RefSeq and is a predicted model, not a curated record. The transcript is spliced from 4 exons.